CAAUAGCGUAUAUUAAAGUUGUUGCAGUUAGAAAGCUCGUAGUUGGAUUUCUGUGAGAGUGCCGGUGUCGGCUGAUGCUUGUACGCAGGCGCUCUUACAUCCUUCUGUUAACUGUUCUUGGCAUUUUAUUGCUGGUUCAGGGCUCAGAUAUUUUACCUUGAGAAAAUUAGAGUGUUUCAGGCAGGCUUAUGCCGGAAUACAUUAGCAUGGAAUAAUGGAACAGGACCUGUGCGUCUCUCGGGGCGCCGGUCUCCGUUGUUGGUUUCGGGGACUAAUGUAAUGAUUAAUAGGGAUAGUUGGGGGCAUUAGUAUUUAAUAGUCAGAGGUGAAAUUCUCGGAUUUGUUAAAGACUAACUUAUGCGAAAGCAUUUGCCAAGGAUGUUUUCAUUAA
Molecule: ribosomal RNA, 391 nt
Filed under: uncultured eukaryote
Lineage: Eukaryota
Description: partial 18S ribosomal RNA
Rfam family: Eukaryotic small subunit ribosomal RNA
Source: RNAcentral